This 1465-nucleotide ribosomal RNA is filed under the name Prochlorococcus sp. AG-432-D09. RNAcentral describes it as "bacterial SSU rRNA". It matches the Rfam family "Bacterial small subunit ribosomal RNA". The record is from RNAcentral. Lineage: Bacteria; Bacillati; Cyanobacteriota; Cyanophyceae; Synechococcales; Prochlorococcaceae.
AGAGUUUGAUCCUGGCUCAGGAUGAACGCUGGCGGCGUGCUUAACACAUGCAAGUCGAACGAACCUUCGGGUUAGUGGCGGACGGGUGAGUAACGCGUGGGAAUCUGCCCUCAGGAGGGGGAUAACGGUUGGAAACGGCCGCUAAUACCCCAUAUGCCGAGAGGUGAAAUGAAUUUCGCCUGAGGAUGAGCCCGCGUCUGAUUAGCUAGUUGGUGAGGUAAUGGCUCACCAAGGCAUCGAUCAGUAGCUGGUCUGAGAGGAUGAUCAGCCACACUGGGACUGAGACACGGCCCAGACUCCUACGGGAGGCAGCAGUGGGGAAUUUUCCGCAAUGGGCGCAAGCCUGACGGAGCAACGCCGCGUGAGGGAUGAAGGCCUCUGGGCUGUAAACCUCUUUUCUCAAGGAAGAAGAUCUGACGGUACUUGAGGAAUAAGCCACGGCUAAUUCCGUGCCAGCAGCCGCGGUAAUACGGGAGUGGCAAGCGUUAUCCGGAAUUAUUGGGCGUAAAGCGUCCGCAGGCGGCUUUUCAAGUCUGCUGUUAAAGCGUGGAGCUUAACUCCAUCAAGGCAGUGGAAACUGAUUGGCUUGAGUGUGGUAGGGGCAGAGGGAAUUCCCGGUGUAGCGGUGAAAUGCGUAGAUAUCGGGAAGAACACCAGUGGCGAAGGCGCUCUGCUGGGCCAUAACUGACGCUCAUGGACGAAAGCCAGGGGAGCGAAAGGGAUUAGAUACCCCUGUAGUCCUGGCCGUAAACGAUGAACACUAGGUGUCGGGGGAAUCGACCCCCUCGGUGUCGUAGCCAACGCGUUAAGUGUUCCGCCUGGGGAGUACGCACGCAAGUGUGAAACUCAAAGGAAUUGACGGGGGCCCGCACAAGCGGUGGAGUAUGUGGUUUAAUUCGAUGCAACGCGAAGAACCUUACCAGGGUUUGACAUCCUGCGAAUCUCUUGGAAACGAGAGAGUGCCUUUGGGAACGCAGUGACAGGUGGUGCAUGGCUGUCGUCAGCUCGUGUCGUGAGAUGUUGGGUUAAGUCCCGCAACGAGCGCAACCCACGUUUUUAGUUGCCAGCAUUCAGUUGGGCACUCUAGAGAGACCGCCGGUGAUAAACCGGAGGAAGGUGUGGAUGACGUCAAGUCAUCAUGCCCCUUACAUCCUGGGCUACACACGUACUACAAUGCUACGGACAAAGGGCAGCGAACUCGCGAGGGCAAGCAAAUCCCAUAAACCGUGGCUCAGUUCAGAUCGUAGGCUGCAACUCGCCUACGUGAAGAAGGAAUCGCUAGUAAUCGCAGGUCAGCAUACUGCGGUGAAUACGUUCCCGGGCCUUGUACACACCGCCCGUCACACCAUGGAAGUUGGCCACGCCCGAAGUCGUUACUCCAACCCUUGUGGAGGAGGACGCCGAAGGUGGGGCUGAUGACUGGGGUGAAGUCGUAACAAGGUAGCCGUACCGGAAGGUGCGGCUG